This 253-nucleotide ribosomal RNA is filed under the name uncultured bacterium. Its description in RNAcentral is "partial 16S ribosomal RNA". It matches the Rfam family "Bacterial small subunit ribosomal RNA", at positions 524 to 776 of the family's 1533-position model. The record is from RNAcentral.
UACGGGGGGAGCAAGCGUUGUUCGGAUUUACUGGGCGUAAAGGGUCUGUAGGUGGCCAACUAAGUCAGACGUGAAAUCCCUCAGCUUAACUGGGGAACUGCGUCUGAUACUGGAUGGCUUGAGUGUGGGAGAGGAAUGCGGAAUUCCAGGUGUAGCGGUGAAAUGCGUAGAUAUCUGGAGGAACACCGGUGGCGAAGGCGGCAUUCUGGACCAUAACUGACACUGAGAGACGAAAGCCAGGGGAGCAAACGGG